CGCCUGUUUAACAAAAACAUUUCUUCUCAGAAUGAGAAGUAAGGCCUGCUCACUGAAAUUUGAAGAGCCGCAGUAUUCUGACUGUGCUAAGGUAGCAUAAUCAUUAGUCUUUUAAUUGAGGACUGGUAUGAAUGGCUAAACGAGAAAUCAACUUUUUUUACUACAAUACUCUAAUUUAUUUUUUUAGUGAAAAAACUAAAAUUAUCCUAGAAGACGAGAAGACCCUAUAGAGUUUUAUAUAGUUGUAAACUUCAUUGUAGUAGAUUUUUAUUAGUGGGGUUUAAAUCUAUAAUUAGUUGGGGCGACGUAAAGAUAAGAUAAACUCUUUUUUUUGAAAAUUUCUAUAGAAGAAAUGGUUUGAUCCUCUAUAAGAGACCAAAAGAAAAAAUUACCUUAGGGAUAACAGCGUAAUCUUUUUUGAGAGUUCUAAUCGACAAGAAGGUUUGCGACCUCGAUGUUGGACUAAAAUUUAGAUGAGGCGCAGCAGCUUCAUUUUAGGGUCUGUUCGACCCAUAAUAUUUUACAUGAUCUGAGUUCAAACCGG
RNAcentral lists this ribosomal RNA (544 nucleotides) under Octomeris brunnea. RNAcentral describes it as "partial 16S ribosomal RNA". It matches the Rfam family "Archaeal large subunit ribosomal RNA", at positions 1889 to 2688 of the family's 2987-position model. The record is from RNAcentral. Lineage: Eukaryota; Metazoa; Arthropoda; Thecostraca; Balanomorpha; Chthamalidae.